UUGUAUAGUGAACAAAACUCUCUAUUUAAGCCCAAGCUUAAGCACCCAAAUCCCACAACUGAGUGCCCAAGCAUACAAACUUCCUUUGUGGGCUUUCCCUCCACUAAUUCAGUAAGGAUUUGUGGGCAUUAGGAUUCUAAUCAAGCAAUUUUUAGCAUAGUUUUUAAGAAGGUUUGGACUGAAUCAAAUCAGUUUUGUAUGAUAAGACUGAAUAUCUUGGCGUGCACUUGAUAUGGUACAUGACAGAGAAAAAAGAAAUCGCAGAGAGGCGUCGUGCAGUACUGAAUACUUAGUUGCCUUCUUCUGCAAGCUCUUCUUUCAUGGCUUAAAUUCCAUGAUGGAAAGGUGGAAAGGCGUAAGCAUAAUAAUAUGUGGGAUAACAGAAUCCUCCCAUGCUUUUCCACAGCUUUCUUGAACUGAGAGCUCAGACUGCACCACAGAUUUUAUUGUUUAUUACUUUUUUUUUGUUAAGGUGGUCUUUCGUCCGGGCAGAUCUGAGUUCAGAGCUCAAGAAAGCUGUGGGAAAAUAUAGAAGGAUCUCAUGAUCUUGGGACUCGAAGAGAAAUUUGCCUUUAAAGCUACGGUGAAGUUAAGUUUUCAAAAGUUAGUUGUAAAUUUUAGUCUAUUUAUGAGCCCAUCUUGAGAUUGAUAUCAUGGAUUUGGUUUUUGUAUCUAUUGAAUGCAGUAAGUACAUUGAUUGGUUUUUUGUUGAUCCAUGGCAGGAAAAAAAGAGUUGUAGAGGCGUACCAGGUGCCAUUGAAUCUUGAUGAUUGAUCUCGGGUUAGUUCAAACUAGUCUUAUUUGCUGAAGGAUCUCUCUACUGUACACCGUAUUUGUUGGAAUUAUAAACAAAAGAUUCAUUAUUGCUGUGGAACAUUUCAUUUCAUUUGAGGAGCAAGAGUGGGUAUAUUAUCUGUUUGAUACUCAAAACAACCAAUGUUUAUGUAGGACGCUUCUAUUUUGGUUUCAAAAGGAGGUUAUGAAAUUCGUGUUAGUCAUAUUAAUGUAAAAUCUCAGCCAUUGUUAGGCGCGAUCGAUGGUGCAGACUGGUCGUGUGCUGGUAGCCGUAGCACGACAGUGCCGGUUUUGGAGCCAAUUUAGCUUCUGUCAUUUAUGUAAGCCCGCAUCUAUUCUAGCUCUAAAACGACAUUGUUGUACCACGGAAUGUUAGUAACACAAACAUUACACAUCGUUGAUCGUGCAAACAACGACUGUGAUUUUUCUUAAAAGUCAAUAACACGCAUUUUAUAACCUUGUUUUGGAGUCAAAAUAGUUGCGUCUGUUUAGGUAAUAUGGGUAGUUAACGCAUGGGCUACAAAUCAUUGAUUAUUGUUAUUAGAUUUUUUUAUAAAAAAAUUAAUUGAUAUUUCAAGGGUAUGCAAGCGACCUAACCAAGUGAUUCAAGAGUCUUUAUCUUAGGCUUACUUUUUGUCGAGUUUUGGAGUGCCGAAGAGGUGAUGUAGGGAAAGACUAAUCCCUUUGAGGUGAGAGUCAUGCUCAAAAUAGUAGCCACCAAGUUAGCCAUACCAAAUGCUUGAGUUGUGGGAUCACGCCAUUUCUGAUUUUAUAAAUCAGUAUAAAUAUUUUAAUUAUAUUUAUUUGAAAGAUA
Long non-coding RNA from Cryptomeria japonica (Japanese cedar), 1609 nucleotides. RefSeq lists it as uncharacterized. The transcript has 2 exons. The record is from RefSeq and is a predicted model, not a curated record. Lineage: Eukaryota; Viridiplantae; Streptophyta; Pinopsida; Cupressales; Cupressaceae.